This 614-nucleotide ribosomal RNA is filed under the name uncultured Chloroflexota bacterium. Its description in RNAcentral is "bacterial SSU rRNA". It matches the Rfam family "Bacterial small subunit ribosomal RNA", at positions 8 to 638 of the family's 1533-position model. The record is from RNAcentral. Lineage: Bacteria; Bacillati; Chloroflexota.
AGAGUUUGAUCCUGGCUCAGGAUGAACGUUGGCGGCGUGCCUAAUACAUGCAAGUCGAACGGUAGUUGAGCAUUCGUGCUUGAUGAGAGUGGCGAACGGGUGAGUAACACGUAACUGAUCUGCCCUUUAGACUGGGAUAACCUUUGGAAACAGAGGCUAAUACCGGAUGAGUUCGCGGUAGUUAGAGAGCCGUGAGGAAAGGCUAAUGCGCUAAGGGAUGAGGUUGCGGGCCAUCAGCUAGUUGGUGAGGUAAAGGCUCACCAAGGCGAUGACGGUUAGGGGAUCUGAGAGGGUGGCCCCCCACACUGGGACUGAGACACGGCCCAGACUCCUACGGGAGGCAGCAGUAAGGGAUAUUGCACAAUGGACGGAAGUCUGAUGCAGCGACGCCGCGUGGGUGAAGAAGGUUUUCGGAUCGUAAAGCCCUUUUCUAUGUGACGAGAGAGGACGGUAGCAUAGGAAUAAGUGUCGGCUAACUACGUGCCAGCAGCCGCGGUAAAACGUAGGACGCGAACGUUAUCCGGAGUUACUGGGCGUAAAGCGCCCGUAGGCGGUUGGUUAANUUACCUAUGAAAGAUACAGGCUAAACUUGUAUUGGUUAGGUGAAACUGGCU